This 497-nucleotide ribosomal RNA is filed under the name uncultured bacterium. Its description in RNAcentral is "partial 16S ribosomal RNA". It matches the Rfam family "Bacterial small subunit ribosomal RNA", at positions 28 to 507 of the family's 1533-position model. The record is from RNAcentral.
GAUGAACGCUGGCGGCGUGCCUAAUACAUGCAAGUCGAGCGAACAGAUGAGGAGCUUGCUCCUCUGACGUUAGCGGCGGACGGGUGAGUAACACGUGGAUAACCUACCUAUAAGACUGGGAUAACUUCGGGAAACCGGAGCUAAUACCGGAUAAUAUAUUGAACCGCAUGGUUCAAUAGUGAAAGACUGUUUUGCUGUCACUUAUAGAUGGAUCCGCGCCGCAUUAGCUAGUUGGUAAGGUAACGGCUUACCAAGGCGACGAUGCGUAGCCGACCUGAGAGGGUGAUCGGCCACACUGGAACGGAGACACGGUCCAGACUCCUACGGGAGGCAGCAGUAGGGAAUCUUCCGCAAUGGGCGAAAGCUUGACGGAGCAACGCCGCGUGAGUGAUGAAGGUCUUCGGAUCGUAAAACUCUGUUAUUAGGGAAGAACAAAUGUGUAAGUAACUAUGCACGUCUUGACGGUACCUAAUCAGAAAGCCACGGCUAACUACGUG